Molecule: regulatory RNA element, 108 nt
Organism: Oryctes borbonicus
Lineage: Eukaryota; Metazoa; Arthropoda; Insecta; Coleoptera; Scarabaeidae
Rfam family: Potassium channel RNA editing signal
About the family: This family represents a group of sequences related to the human potassium channel Kv1.1 hairpin element which directs the efficient modification of an adenosine to inosine by an adenosine deaminase acting on RNA (ADAR). The ADAR modification causes an isoleucine/valine recoding event which lies in the ion-conducting pore of the potassium channel. It is thought that this editing event targets the process of fast inactivation and allows a more rapid recovery from inactivation at negative potentials.
Source: Rfam
CUGUUCUACCGUAGGCCUGUAGGCGUCUGGGGCAAGAUAGUGGGAUCGUUGUGCGCCAUCGCCGGUGUGCUGACGAUCGCGCUGCCGGUGCCCGUCAUCGUCUCCAAC